UCCUCUGUAGUUCAGUUAGGUAGAACGGCGGACUGUUAAUCCGUAUGUCACUGGUUCGAGUCCAGUCAGGGGAGCCA
RNAcentral lists this transfer RNA (77 nucleotides) under secondary endosymbiont of Heteropsylla cubana. RNAcentral's name for it is "tRNA-Asn (GTT) (tRNA-Asn-GTT-1-1)". It matches the Rfam family "tRNA". From Rfam's summary of the family: Transfer RNA (tRNA) molecules are approximately 80 nucleotides in length. Their secondary structure includes four short double-helical elements and three loops (D, anti-codon, and T loops). Lineage: Bacteria; Pseudomonadati; Pseudomonadota; Gammaproteobacteria; Enterobacterales; Enterobacteriaceae. The record is from RNAcentral.